This 254-nucleotide ribosomal RNA is filed under the name uncultured bacterium. RNAcentral's name for it is "partial 16S ribosomal RNA". It matches the Rfam family "Bacterial small subunit ribosomal RNA", at positions 524 to 776 of the family's 1533-position model. The record is from RNAcentral.
UACGUAGGGCGCAAGCGUUAUCCGGAAUUAUUGGGCGUAAAGAGCUCGUAGGCGGUUUGUCGCGUCUGCCGUGAAAGUCCGGGGCUCAACUCCGGAUCUGCAGGUGGGUACGGGCAGACUAGAGUGAUGUAGGGGAGACUGGAAUUCCUGGUGUAGCGGUGAAAUGCGCAGAUAUCAGGAGGAACACCGAUGGCGAAGGCGGGUCUCUGGGCCGUAACUGACGCUGAGGAGCGAAAGCAUGGGGAGCGAACAGG